RNAcentral lists this ribosomal RNA (253 nucleotides) under uncultured bacterium. Its description in RNAcentral is "partial 16S ribosomal RNA". It matches the Rfam family "Bacterial small subunit ribosomal RNA", at positions 524 to 776 of the family's 1533-position model. The record is from RNAcentral.
UACGUAGGGGGCAAGCGUUGUCCGGAAUCAUUGGGCGUAAAGCGCGUGUAGGCGGUCCGGUAAGUCCGCUGUGAAAGUCGAGGGCUCAACCCUCGAAUGCCGGUGGAUACUGUCGGGCUAGAGUACGGAAGAGGCGAGUGGAAUUCCUGGUGUAGCGGUGAAAUGCGCAGAUAUCAGGAGGAACACCACUUGCGAAGGCAGCUCGCUGGGACGUUACUGACGCUGAGACGCGAAAGCGUGGGGAGCAAACAGG